RNAcentral lists this transfer RNA (60 nucleotides) under Kalidos balstoni. RNAcentral describes it as "tRNA-Val". Lineage: Eukaryota; Metazoa; Mollusca; Gastropoda; Stylommatophora; Helicarionidae. The record is from RNAcentral.
GCAAAUUAAGUAUAAUGUAUAUUUCAAUUACAAUGAAAAGGGCUUCCUAUAGAAUUUGCA